Gorilla gorilla gorilla (western lowland gorilla) is the source of this 107-nucleotide small nuclear RNA. Lineage: Eukaryota; Metazoa; Chordata; Mammalia; Primates; Hominidae. The record is from Ensembl.
GUGCUCAUUUUGGCAGUACAUAUACUAAAAUUGGAAUGAUACAGAGAAGAUUAGCAUGGCCUCUGAGCAAGGAUGACAUGCAAAUUCAUUAAGUAUUCCAUAUAAAA